AGAGUUUGAUCCUGGCUCAGAACGAACGCUGGCGGCAGGCUUAACACAUGCAAGUCGAACGCACCGCAAGGUGAGUGGCAGACGGGUGAGUAACGCGUGGGAACCUACCUAUCGGUUCGGAAUAACUUGGGGAAACCCAAGCUAAUACCGGAUAAGCCCUUCGGGGGAAAGAUUUAUCGCCGAUUGAUGGGCCCGCGUUGGAUUAGCUAGUUGGUAGGGUAACGGCCUACCAAGGCUACGAUCCAUAGCUGGUCUAAGAGGAUGAUCAGCCACACUGGGACUGAGACACGGCCCAGACUCCUACGGGAGGCAGCAGUGGGGAAUAUUGGACAAUGGGGGAAACCCUGAUCCAGCCAUGCCGCGUGAGUGAUGAAGGCCUUAGGGUUGUAAAGCUCUUUCGCCCGGGAAGAUAAUGACUGUACCGGGUAAAGAAGCCCCGGCUAACUUCGUGCCAGCAGCCGCGGUAAUUC
Molecule: ribosomal RNA, 470 nt
Filed under: uncultured bacterium
Lineage: Bacteria
Description: bacterial SSU rRNA
Rfam family: Bacterial small subunit ribosomal RNA
Source: RNAcentral